This 3029-nucleotide long non-coding RNA is filed under the name Malus domestica (apple). RNAcentral's name for it is "long non-coding RNA (MDOM_LNC015351)". The record is from RNAcentral. Lineage: Eukaryota; Viridiplantae; Streptophyta; Magnoliopsida; Rosales; Rosaceae.
GCUUAUGCAAAGAGGAAUCUACAAAGGUAUAAUUUCUCAACUAACAAAUGUUGUUUUAAGUUAAGUCAAGGUUCACCAAUCUACUAGGCUUUGAAUUUCAUGGUUAAUGUUUUGUUUUUAAGUGCAUACAAGCAUGAUUUCGCCUUUUAAUUGUUAAUUGCAUGCUUUAGAUGUUGCUUAAAUGAACAUGUUUUUCACAAAAUUUCCUUCAGGAGGGUGUCAAUCUUAGGGUGUUGGGGACUCAUUUCCAUGCAAUUGAUGUUAAGAGUGGGUUUUUUGCUGGGUGCUGAUCCCCCGUCGGUGGUGUGCUUAUAGGAUUUGUCCCUGUCUUUUGGUUCAGCCGAAUCUUCCUUUCUUGCCUUGCAUUUGACAAAAUUCCUAACAAUGCCUCUGAUCCAGCAAUUCUUCAAUUAAUCUCUUUGUUUGGCAACUCCUGGUAGAGUGGCUGGUACUUUUAUAGAAAGAGCAAUACUCUUUCAAAUUUUUCUUUGCUAGAUACUUAUGGAGUGGCUUUGGACAUCAGAGGCAUGGUUUCUCUUUUAUGCAGUUGAGGAUGUUGUUGAUGGUGGUGUUUAAAACAUGUAUUGCUUUGGCUUAAGAUGAGUUUUACUAUCUUGGCAGCCACUUUUAUUUGCUAGACGUGGAGAAGAGGGAUGACUGUCUCGGUCGUUCCUCAUUUGAUUAGUCUUUUUAGUGUAGUCCGGAUCGGUAGUUGUCUUUCGAGUCUUGUCAUUCUAGUCGGUGAGGCCAUUUGUUACAUCAAAGCACAUCGCUAGGAUAACGUAGUCAUACUUUCUUUUGUUCAAUUUGUCACAUUUCGACUCCGCCGUAGCACGAUAUUAUCCGCUUUGGGUCAUGUCCUCAUAGAUUUGUUCCUGGGCAAGAGAACCACUACCCAAAACGCGUCAUGCUAGGAAGAAAGGAGCCAAGGACCAACCUUCACCCCGCCGAUGUGGGAUACUAUAAUCCACCCCCUUAGGGAGACCGACGUCCUCGUUGGCACAUCCGAAUGGACGGUGAGUCUGGCUCUGAUACCAAAUUGUUGCAUUCUGACUCUGCUGUAGCACGAUAUUGUCCGCUUUGGGCCACACCCUCACGGAUUUGUUCCUGGGCAAGAGAACCUUACUACCCAAAAUGUGCUAUGCUAGGAAGAGAAGGGCAUGUACAUAUAAGGCCAGGGACUAACCUUUACCCCGCCGAUGUGGGAUACUAUACAAUUUCUAGGAAAAAGGUGAGUGAACCUGGAGACCUUGCUUGGAUACUAAUUUUAUCUGACAGUGCAUAAUUUGGUAAUCUAGAUCAGAGUCUCCUUGGAACGAUUUAAAUCAAGGUUGUGGGAACUUCUCUAAUAGGAUUAUGGACUCAAUUGUCAGGUAAAUGUAGCUCCUGACCCUGACUGUUGGCUUAAGGGUAUACGAGGGUGAUCAUCUUUGGUUACGCCUCUUGGUUUUCUGUAUUCAAGGGAUGUCGUUGUUCUUGUUCUUAAGAAGAUUUGGGUUCAUCCAACCUCAAACGGUGGGGUUCCACCUUGGUGCUCUAUAAUGUUCAUUGGAAGAGAGUUUUGCGAGAUUCGAAGCUUGCUUCCAAAGGCGAUUGAUAGGAGCAUAUUUAUGCGACUUAGUUAGCUUGUCCUUGUGCAUUUAUGUUGUUAUUUCUUAGUCAAUUAUGUAUUUUAAUCUAUUUUCGUGUGUGUAGGUUCAAAUAACAAAGUUAGCAACAAAGUGCUAUUUGGAGCAUUUUGGAGCAUUUUUGGGCCAAGAUUGGAUAGUGCAAGCAUGGAGACAUGAGGAUGGACGUUUUUGAAGAUUUGAAGGCUAGAAAUCAGCAUGUGUGUGUGCAAGUGUGUUGACCUACAACUCCAAACAUCCACCCACUACACCCAUUACAUCCACUCAUUACCAAACACUCAUCCACUACACCCAUUACAUCCACUCAUUACCAAACAUCCAUCCACUAUACCCAUUACAUCCACUCAUUACCAAACACUCACCCACUACACCCAUUACAUCCACUCAUUACCACAACAUACACCACUACCACUAUAAUUAGAUGGUGGUCCUCUCCCUAGCCUAUAAAUACAUCCACCCUUCACCAUAACAAGGGAGGAGAAAAGAUCCAUCCAAAGACGGCAACUGCACCUAUCAAAGCGGCUAAAAGAAUUAUUGUGAAACGAAUUCAAAUGGAAGAAAAAAAUCUGUUGAUAAAUGAAUUCCAAUUUGUUAAAGACACUACUUUCACAUCUCACAACUCCAUACACUUACACUUUCAUUCCUUGGGUGAGAACACAAUCCACCCGUCCACCCUUCACCAUAACUCACCUAUAUCCAUCCACCACCAUAAUUUACCACCCAUCCAUCAAACCACACCUUGUGCCGCAACAAAGAGAAGAAGGAGGACCCUUGGACGUGCUUGCCAUUCAAGUUGGAUUGUUGGAGCAUUUUUAGGUGUUUUCAUUCUUUUGUUUUUAAUGUCUAAAUUUGUUUAUCUUUUCUUUGUGAGUAUGAGGAACUAAACCCCCCUUAGCUAGGGGGGAAUUUGAAACCAUGUUCAUGCUUGCAAUAUGAUUUGAUUACCUUCAGUUGUGAUUUCAUAAGCUGUGAAUUCAAUUUGUUUAAUUGCUUGAUUGAUAACUUAUUCAUGUAUAUAUUAAGAGUGCACACUUAGUUUGCAUGCAUGAAUAUGAUGCUAGAGUAUAAGGGAGUUUCACCUAAUAGUUACAAACUUAUAUUCACAAGUAGUGGAGGUCGCUUAUAAACGAUCGCGUUAAAUAAAUUCUUGGCAAGAGUUUCAUGCUCAUCAUAGUAAUGAAUGCCUCGUCAAUACUUAUAGUUUUCAUAAUGCUUAAUGAUAUUUGAUUGUAUCUUUAUUAUGCUGUUCACGUGAAGAACUUUUGAAGAAUGCUUGAAUUGUUGCAUGCGAUUUCCCAUCCAAUUCAAUAACUUAAGGAGAACUUGAAGAUUAAUUUAAGCGGACUUAAUUAACCUGGGGUGUUGAGUUUCAUGAUUGAUCGAAAGAACAACUGAAAAUUG